CAACUGUUUCUUGAAGUGCCCUUCUGCGUCAUCACCCCGUGCUCACACGGAGACGCCGUCAUCAUGCAAAGAAUCUGCGCAAAGGAUCAUGGGAGCCCAAAGUGUCCAUCAGUUCCAGCACUUCGGUUUGGAACGACCAUUCAGUACGGUGGCCAUGAUUGUUUUCACUCCAAAUGCCCUUCAGAGGUCGAUAUAUCCCGUUUGGAAUGCACCGAAAGUCGAACAAAUAUUCUAACCAGAAUGCAUUGCUUUGGUGACCCCUGACAAGAAUGGGAGCUAUCCGAAAGAUAGAGAGUUUUGAGUACCAAAGCAAAGAAGACUGCAAAGCCCAGUACCUAAAGAAACCAAUACAAGCACAUCAAGUCCAGGUUUCUGUAGCAACAAAACAUCUAGCGGACAGUGUCAACAAGCUGCACAGAAAGUGCCUGGGUGAUGAAGAGACUUUCAAAGAAUGACACCACCAUUGAGAUGAGCCAGUAUGGUCAACCCAUACAUCAUAGUUAAGUAUGUUGAAACACCACUGGUGGCUACAACAAGAAACCAACCAACCAACACAAACCACCAGGGCAAGCCUUUCUGACAACACUUUUUGCCGGAAAACGGCAGACUUGGCCACAUGGUGAUGGAUAGUAAUGUCUACAAUGGACACGAGUGUUGUCACCGUACGACCACAACAGCUUGAAGUUGUCUAAUUCUCCCUGCUGCACUAAUAGUAGUACGGCUUUCCUCUGUGUAUACCUAUCCUUACAAGUACAAUUUUAGCAGGAUUAUUUGUGUCCCCUUCAAAAAUUGCUGUUGAGAAAUUUUUUGUUUAUUGUCCCCCCC
Long non-coding RNA from Cyprinus carpio carpio, 825 nucleotides. NCBI's taxonomy places the organism in Eukaryota, Metazoa, Chordata, Actinopteri, Cypriniformes, Cyprinidae. The record is from Ensembl.